Molecule: long non-coding RNA, 337 nt
Organism: Ostrea edulis (European flat oyster)
Lineage: Eukaryota; Metazoa; Mollusca; Bivalvia; Ostreida; Ostreidae
Exons: 2
Source: RefSeq, a predicted model, not a curated record
GUGUGUGGUAGACAAUUUCAAGUGUGUGUGGUUGACUUCCCAGUGUGUGUGUGUGUUAGAAUAUUCCCAAUGUGUGUGGUAGAGUAUUUCCAGUGUGUGUGUGGCAGAGAUGGGGUAAUCGUAAUCUGUAAUCGUAAUUAGCUGUAAUCGAUUACAGUUUUUCAUGUAAUCGAAUGUAAUCUGUAAUCGUGUACUUUUUAGAUUACAUGUAAUUGUAAUCGAUUACAUUAAUUUUACCCUGUAAUCAUGAUUAUUUUUAGAUUACUUUUUUGAUUACUUUCAUUAAUUUUGUAUAUUUUUCAUGUUGUUUUUUUUUUUUAUUAUCAACAAGUUUUCU